UACGUAGGGGGCGAGCGUUGUCCGGAAUUACUGGGCGUAAAGGGCGCGCAGGCGGCCGAUCAAGUUAGAUGUGAAAUACCCGGGCUUAACCUGGGAACUGCAUUUAAGACUGGUUGGCUAGGAGUGCAGGAGAGGGAAGCGGAAUUCCUAGUGUAGCGGUGAAAUGCGUAGAUAUUAGGAGGAACACCAGUGGCGAAGGCGGCUUUCUGGACUGUAACUGACGCUGAGGCGCGAAAGCGUGGGGA
RNAcentral lists this ribosomal RNA (245 nucleotides) under uncultured Eubacteriales bacterium. RNAcentral describes it as "uncultured Clostridiales bacterium partial 16S ribosomal RNA". It matches the Rfam family "Bacterial small subunit ribosomal RNA", at positions 524 to 767 of the family's 1533-position model. Lineage: Bacteria; Bacillati; Bacillota; Clostridia; Eubacteriales. The record is from RNAcentral.